UAUCAAUAAGCGGAGGAAAAGAAACUAACAAGGAUUCCCCUAGUAACUGCGAGUGAAGCGGGAAAAGCUCAAAUUUAAAAUCUGGUGGUCUUUGGCCAUCCGAGUUGUAAUUUAGAGAAGCGACUUCCGCGCUGGACCGUGCACAAGUCUCCUGGAAUGGAGCGUCAUAGAGGGUGAGAAUCCCGUCUUUGGCACGGACACGCCAGGGCUUUUGUGAUGCGCUCUCGAAGAGUCGAGUUGUUUGGGAAUGCAGCUCAAAAUGGGUGGUGAACUCCAUCUAAAGCUAAAUAUUGGCGAGAGACCGAUAGCGAACAAGUACCGUGAGGGAAAGAUGAAAAGCACUUUGGAAAGAGAGUGAAACAGUACGUGAAAUUGUUGAAAGGGAAACGCUUGAAGUCAGUCGCGUCGACCGAGACUCAGCCUUGCCUCGGCUUGGUGUACUUCUCGGCCGACGGGUCAGCAUCAAUUUUGCCCCUUGGAUAAUGGCGAGGGAAAUGUGACACCUUUACGGUGUGUUAUAGUCUCUUGUCGCAUGCAAGGGUCGGGAUUGAGGAACUCAGCACGCACCUUUGGGUGUCGGGGCUUUGCCCACGAUACGUGCUUAGGAUGUUGGCGUAAUGGCUUUAAACGACC
RNAcentral lists this ribosomal RNA (633 nucleotides) under Russula aff. integra r-03014. RNAcentral describes it as "LSU rRNA". It matches the Rfam family "Eukaryotic large subunit ribosomal RNA", at positions 41 to 649 of the family's 3401-position model. Lineage: Eukaryota; Fungi; Basidiomycota; Agaricomycetes; Russulales; Russulaceae. The record is from RNAcentral.